Molecule: ribosomal RNA, 497 nt
Filed under: uncultured bacterium
Lineage: Bacteria
Description: partial 16S ribosomal RNA
Rfam family: Bacterial small subunit ribosomal RNA
Source: RNAcentral
GAUGAACGCUGGCGGCGUGCUUAAUACAUGCAAGUCGAGCGAACGGACGAGAAGUUUGUUUCUCUGAUGUUAGCGGCGGACGGGUGAGUAACACGUGGAUAACCUACCUAUAAGACUGGGAUAACUUCGGGAAACCGGAGCUUAUACCGGAUAAUAUUUUGAACCGCAUGGUUCAAAAGUGAAAGACGGUCGUGCUGUCACUUAUAGAUGGAUCCGCGCUGCAUUAGCUAGUUGGUAAGGUAACGGCUUACCAAGGCAACGAUGCAUAGCCGACCUGGGAGGGUGAUCGGCCACACUGGAACUGGGACGCGGUCCAGGCUCCUACGGGAGGGAGAAGUAGGGAAUCUGCCGCAAUGGGCGAGAGCCUGACGGAGCAGCGCCGAGUGAGUGAUGAAGAUCUUCGGAUCGUGAAGCUCUGUUAUUAGGGAAGAACAUAUGUGUAAGUAGCUGUGCACAUCUUGACGGUACCGAAUCAGAAAGCCACGGCUAACUACGUG